GCCUAGAUAGCUUAACUGGUAAAGUACGGAACUGAAAAUUCUGGUUAGAAUGUUCAAGUCAUUCUCAAGGCA
This 72-nucleotide transfer RNA is filed under the name Coemansia sp. RSA 2399. RNAcentral's name for it is "tRNA-Phe". It matches the Rfam family "tRNA". Rfam says of the family: Transfer RNA (tRNA) molecules are approximately 80 nucleotides in length. Lineage: Eukaryota; Fungi; Kickxellomycota; Kickxellomycetes; Kickxellales; Kickxellaceae. RNAcentral also lists the same sequence under 1 other name. The record is from RNAcentral.